AGGUGUUUACACACAUCUCAGUGAAAUGCUUUGGAGUACUAUGGUACUAUCACAGUCUACUGUAAGUGUCACCUGCAGCUCUUACUGUACUUCCUAUAAUUGUUUGAUUUAAUGUCAUGGAGCAGCCAGUGGGUGGCGCUGUUAAAGUCUCUCUCUAGGUGUUUUGAUUCUAGGUCGCUGCUGAAGUUAGCUGCUGGUUAAUGUUGAAAACAUUAACAUCCUUCAGUUUUACAAAGUUCAUGGACAUGUUAUGAGUGAUGCAGCGACUACCCAGCUGUAGUUUCCAGCCGUGUAUCUCUGGGACCUUCAGGACGAGAGAAAAUCACAGGUGCAGAAGUGGAAGGCCGUGAGCUGCUGCUCCUCAGAUUGAUGUUCUUCAGGUGUUUGACACGUUCAGGAAUCCGGUCAGGAGAACAGCGGCUUUUGUUCCAGAAACAGGGAAUAUCCUGCACAGAUACGGCCUGCUUGGGAAAACCGAGCAAGCGAUGCAGUUCAGGUGGGAAGGAAGGGAGGUCCGUUUUUGGAAGGCCUUGGCAGAUCCUCCCGAUCGGAUGGAGCAUAUUCGGUUCACGUGCGGCGACUGAAUGCCUUCCAAUGUUUGCAGACACUGAUGGAUGAGAACAUAACGACGUGCCGACGGACAGACCACAUCUCUGAGAAAAAACUGUGAAUAUGGCAAUUCAUCUUGAAACUGGAAGGCCUGGAAGCGGUUGGAGCUGCAGUGUUGGGCGUCUGAAACGCACAAAUGUUUGGUUUCUGUUUACAUUUGAGUUUUUCUGCGUUUCUGCUCACUGCCGUUUCAUCUGUGAGAGCAGUUUUCUGUUUUAUUUAAGAGCUUAUAAGAUUACAGUUCCGCUCGGUUUCUGCUUUUUCUCAAGGAUAUUGCGACGGGCAACAGUGAUGAUGGUUUUAUGACCGAAUUUAGUGAGGUUUAUGCAUGAAGCAUGACAGGUUGUAAGAUACUGUACAUUCUGUAAAAACAAGAUUUAAUAUUAAAUGCAAUUUGCUUUCUCGGGUAAAUGUAGGCCUGUCAUGUGGUGAAUAAGAACAAAAUACAGUAUGCUUAUAUGUUUUAAAAAAUAUUUGUAUUUUAGUUGUAGCUGGUUAGUUGAACAGUUACAUGUAAAGAG
This is a long non-coding RNA of Cyprinus carpio (common carp), 1130 nucleotides long. RefSeq lists it as uncharacterized. The record is from RefSeq and is a predicted model, not a curated record. NCBI's taxonomy places the organism in Eukaryota, Metazoa, Chordata, Actinopteri, Cypriniformes, Cyprinidae.